This 440-nucleotide ribosomal RNA is filed under the name uncultured bacterium. RNAcentral's name for it is "partial 16S ribosomal RNA". It matches the Rfam family "Bacterial small subunit ribosomal RNA", at positions 338 to 795 of the family's 1533-position model. The record is from RNAcentral.
CCUACGGGUGGCAGCAGUGGGGAAUAUUGCACAAUGGGGGAAACCCUGAUGCAGCGACGCCGCGUGAGUGAAGAAGGUUUUCGGUACGUAAAGCUCUAUCAGCAGGGAAGAAAAGGACGGUACCUGACUAAGAAUCCACGGCUCACUACGUGCCAGCAGCCUCGGUAAUACGUCGGGGGCAAGCGUUAUCCGGAUUUACUGGGUGUAAAGGGAGCGUAGACGGCAGCGCAAGUCUGGAGUGAAAUCCCAGGGCUUAACCAUGGAACUGCGUUGGAAACUGUGAAGCUGGAGUGCAGGAGAGGUAAGCGGAAUUCGUAGUGUAGCGGUGAAAUGCGUAGAUAUCAGGAGGAACACCAGUGGCGAAGGCGGCUUACUGGACUGUAACUGACAUUGAGGCUCGAAAGCGUGGGGAGCAAACAGGAUUAGAUACCCCUGUAGUC